GACGAACGCUGGCGGCGUGCUUAACACAUGCAAGUCGAACGGAAAGGCCCUGCUUGCAGGGUACUCGAGUGGCGAACGGGUGAGUAACACGUGGGUGAUCUGCCCUGCACUUCGGGAUAAGCCUGGGAAACUGGGUCUAAUACCGGGUAGGAGCCAUUUUUAGUGUGAUGGUUGGAAAGUUUUUUCGGUGUAGGAUGAGCUCGCGGCCUAUCAGCUUGUUGGUGGGGUAAUGGCCUACCAAGGCGGCGACGGGUAGCCGGCCUGGGAGGGUGGACGGCCACAUUGGGGCUGGGAUACGGCCCAGACUCCUACGGGGGGCAGCAGGGGGGAAUAUUGGACAAUGGGCGCAAGCCUGAUGCAGGGACGCCGCGUGGGGGAUGACGGCCUUCGGGUUGUAAACUCCUUUCGCUAGGGACGAAGCUUUUUGUGACGGUACCUAGAUAAGAAGCACCGGCUAACUACGUG
Molecule: ribosomal RNA, 465 nt
Filed under: uncultured bacterium
Lineage: Bacteria
Description: partial 16S ribosomal RNA
Rfam family: Bacterial small subunit ribosomal RNA
Source: RNAcentral